CCCCCGUGGCUUGUUCAUGGGAUCUCGAGCGGACGAUUCACAAGCUUGCUUUUGGAUCGUUAGCGGCGGACGGGUGAGUAACACGUGGGCAACCUGCCCUGUAGACGGGGAUAACACCGAGAAAUCGGUGCUAAUACCGGAUAACACGAAAGGUCGCAUGGUCUUUCGUUGAAAGACGGCGCAAGCUGUCGCUACAGGAUGGGCCCGCGGCGCAUUAGCUAGUUGGUGAGGUAACGGCUCACCAAGGCGACGAUGCGUAGCCGACCUGAGAGGGUGAUCGGCCACACUGGGACUGAGACACGGCCCAGACUCCUACGGGAGGCAGCAGUAGGGAAUCUUCCGCAAUGGACGAAAGUCUGACGGAGCAACGCCGCGUGAGCGAAGAAGGCCUUCGGGUCGUAAAGCUCUGUUGUUAGGGAAGAACAAGUACCGCAGUCACUGGCGGUACCUUGACGGUACCUAACAAGGAAGCCACGGCUAACUACGUGCCACCACCGCGGUAAUACGUAUGUGGCAAGCGUUUUCCGUAAUUAUUGGGCUUAAACCGCGCCAUGCAGUUUCCUUAAGUCUGAAUGUAAAAACCCCCCGCUUUAACCCUUG
Molecule: ribosomal RNA, 600 nt
Filed under: Anoxybacillus sp. TSB-8
Lineage: Bacteria; Bacillati; Bacillota; Bacilli; Caryophanales; Anoxybacillaceae
Description: bacterial SSU rRNA
Rfam family: Bacterial small subunit ribosomal RNA
Source: RNAcentral